GACGAACGCUGGCGGCGUGCUUAACACGUGCAAGUCGAACGGAAAGGCCCUGCUUUUGUGGGGUGCUCGAGUGGCGAACGGGUGAGUAACACGUGAGUAACCUGCCCUUGACUUUGGGAUAACUUCAGGAAACUGGGGCUAAUACCGGAUAGGAGCUCCUGCUGCAUGGUGGGGGUUGGAAAGUUUCGGUGGUUGGGGAUGGACUCGCGGCUUAUCAGCUUGUUGGUGGGGUAGUGGCUUACCAAGGCUUUGACGGGUAGCCGGCCUGAGAGGGUGACCGGCCACAUUGGGACUGAGAUACGGCCCAGACUCCUACGGGAGGCAGCAGUGGGGAAUAUUGCACAAUGGGCGGAAGCCUGAUGCAGCAACGCCGCGUGCGGGAUGACGGCCUUCGGGUUGUAAACCGCUUUCGCCUGUGACGAAGCGUGAGUGACGGUAAUGGGUAAAGAAGCACCGGCUAACUACGUG
This 468-nucleotide ribosomal RNA is filed under the name uncultured bacterium. RNAcentral's name for it is "partial 16S ribosomal RNA". It matches the Rfam family "Bacterial small subunit ribosomal RNA", at positions 28 to 507 of the family's 1533-position model. The record is from RNAcentral.